Molecule: ribosomal RNA, 204 nt
Filed under: Triticum aestivum (bread wheat)
Lineage: Eukaryota; Viridiplantae; Streptophyta; Magnoliopsida; Poales; Poaceae
Description: partial small subunit ribosomal RNA
Source: RNAcentral
AUUGGGUUGAAGAUCAAUUCAUAUCGACAAGACUUUCCAUUCAUCUUUUUGUUGAUAUUUGGAUUCCGUUUUCAAAUAAAGUCAUCUUGUAGUUAGAUAUCACCUUUAGAAUCAUCAGCCUCUGUCUGUUUGGGAGUGUGUUUAGUACGUGGCCGUGUUGUACUAGCAGUUUUUUGUUCUGUUCGCGUCUGCAGGCAGGCUUGA